UCUCUCAUCCUAAAUGUACAGCAGCCGUUCGACAAACAUCAUUUAGUAAAGAUGGAAGAUCCCACAAGAAUGGAGUUGUGAAAGUCCCUUUACCACCUGUGUCAUUCACUUCAAUUACUCUUACUAGUUUGUCAUUACUCAUGUGUCAUGGUGAUUUAUGGCCAAGAAUGUUCAUUUGUAGUUUGGAUUCUUUGUUGAUGUCAGUUGUUUGUUCAUAUAAUGAUGAUGGGCCCCAUUGUUAUAUGAACCCACCUUAAAGGUGGUCAACUGAUACUCACAGAAGAUCAACUCUGCACUAAGCAUUCUUUGAGUAAUGAUAAAACUGGGGUAUUGAAAGGCGGUCCCUUUUCCUUCGCUUGAAGUUACCAUAACACUGCAUUGUGAAUUGUUGUCUAUCGAAAUGGCGAUUCAUAAUAUCAGUAGCUACCUUAUUGGUUGACGAUGCUCCUUACUUCGUGUAUGGAAUGGUAUCGACAUGUUGAAUGGACAUCGCAUAACGGCAUAUGUACGUAUGAACAUUUACAUUGAAGUGAUUGCACUAUAAAAAGGGACAACAAAGAUGGAAAACAAGCGAGUGGAAAAACACGAUCUAUAUCUUGUGGUUUGUAAGUUGAGUAGAUAUAAGUGUUAAAAUUAACUUGUAUGAGUAACUGCAUGAGAUAGUUAAAAAGGAUCCUGAUGGUCUAUCUUUAUAAUUUGAAACUUAACCAUGAAAAACACCCAACUUAAAAAAGUGUCAAUAAAAGAUGUCACUUGCUGUGAGAAAA
Xenia sp. Carnegie-2017 is the source of this 767-nucleotide long non-coding RNA. RefSeq lists it as uncharacterized. Lineage: Eukaryota; Metazoa; Cnidaria; Anthozoa; Malacalcyonacea; Xeniidae. The record is from RefSeq and is a predicted model, not a curated record. The transcript has 2 exons.